AGUGAUUGGUGUUCAUGCAACUGGAAAUGCAAUACGGCAGGCACACGCAGCAGUACAACCUGUGGGCAAUAAAAGAAUAGCAAAACUGUUGAUUAUUAUUUCCAGCUAAGACUGUCAUUUUAUGUCAUAUAGACACAUUGCUGACCUACCAAACAAACUCUUAGUCUUAUCAUAGAUAAGAAUGUCGUACUUUAUCUUUAACUUUACCUGUAUUGUGAUUCAUAAAUUCAUAUGCGUACAAUACGAUAUUCUAGAACACUUUCUUGUAUGAUAUAUGUAGAAGUUACCGAUUUUAUGUUAUAAUUUAUCCGAGUAAAUGGAGCUUUUUCUGUGUCGCGUGCACAAA
Drosophila yakuba is the source of this 346-nucleotide long non-coding RNA. RefSeq lists it as uncharacterized. NCBI's taxonomy places the organism in Eukaryota, Metazoa, Arthropoda, Insecta, Diptera, Drosophilidae. The transcript has 2 exons. The record is from RefSeq and is a predicted model, not a curated record.